CCAUGCCGCGUGCAGGAAGAAUGCCCUAUGGGUAGUAAACUGCUUUUAUACGGGAAGAAAAAGAGCUACGUGUAGCUUACUGACGGUACCGUAAGAAUAAGGACCGGCUAACUCCGUGCCAGCAGCCGCGGUAAUACGGAGGGUCCGAGCGUUAUCCGGAAUUAUUGGGUUUAAAGGGUCCGUAGGCGGGCGAUUAAGUCAGUGGUGAAAGUCUGCAGCUCAACUGUAGAAUUGCCUUUGAUACUGGUCGUCUUGAGUUAUAGUGAAGUUGCCGGAAUAUGUAGUGUAGCGGUGAAAUGCAUAGAUAUUACAUAGAACACCGAUUGCGAAGGCAGGUGACUAACUAUAUACUGACGCUGAUGGACGAAAGCGUGGGGAGCGAACAGGAUUAGAUACCCUGGUAGUCCACGCCGUAAACGAUGGAUACUAGCUGUCCGGGACCUUGAGUCCUGGGCGGCCAAGCGAAAGUGAUAAGUAUCCCACCUGGGGAGUACGUUCGCAAGAAUGAAACUCAAAGGAAUUGACGGGGGCCCGCACAAGCGGUGGAGCAUGUGGUUUAAUUCGAUGAUACGCGAGGAACCUUACCAGGGCUUAAAUGCAUAUUGACAGGGGUAGAGAUACCUUUUCCUUCGGGCAAUUUGCAAGGUGCUGCAUGGUUGUCGUCAGCUCGUGCCGUGAGGUGUCAGGUUAAGUCCUAUAACGAGCGCAACCCCUACCGUUAGUUGCCAGCAUGUCAUGAUGGGGACUCUAACGGGACUGCCGGUGCAAACCGUGAGGAAGGUGGGGAUGACGUCAAAUCAUCACGGCCCUUACGUCCUGGGCCACACACGUGCUACAAUGGCAGGUACAGAGAGCAGCCACGUCGCAAGGCGGAGCGAAUCUAUAAAACCUGUCACAGUUCGGAUCGGGGUCUGCAACUCGACCCCGUGAAGCUGGAAUCGCUAGUAAUCGGAUAUCAGCCAUGAUCCGGUGAAUACGUUCCCGGGCCUUGUACACACCGCCCGUCAAGCCAUGGAAG
This 1018-nucleotide ribosomal RNA is filed under the name Arctic sea ice bacterium 9m1. RNAcentral's name for it is "bacterial SSU rRNA". It matches the Rfam family "Bacterial small subunit ribosomal RNA", at positions 392 to 1410 of the family's 1533-position model. The record is from RNAcentral.